RNAcentral lists this ribosomal RNA (460 nucleotides) under uncultured bacterium. RNAcentral describes it as "partial 16S ribosomal RNA". It matches the Rfam family "Bacterial small subunit ribosomal RNA", at positions 338 to 795 of the family's 1533-position model. The record is from RNAcentral.
CCUACGGGUGGCAGCAGUGAGGAAUAUUGGUCAAUGGGCGUAAGCCUGAACCAGCCAAGUCGCGUGAGGGAUGAAGGUUCUAUGGAUCGUAAACCUCUUUUAUAAGGGAAUAAAGUGUGGGACGUGUCCUGUUUUGUAUGUACCUUAUGAAUAAGGAUCGGCUAACUCCGUGCCAGCAGCCGCGGUAAUACGGAGGAUCCGAGCGUUAUCCGGAUUUAUUGGGUUUAAAGGGUGCGUAGGCGGCCUUUUCAGUCAGUGGUGAAAGUCUGUGGCUCAACCAUAGAAUUGCCGUUGAAACUGGGAGGCUUGAGUAUGUGUGAGGCAGGCGGAAUGCGUGGUGUAGCGGUGACAUGCGUAGAUAGCACGCAGAACCCCGAUUGCGAAGGCAGCCUGCCAAGCCAUGACUGACGCUGAUGCACGAAAGCGUGGGGAUCAAACAGGAUUAGAUACCCGAGUAGUC